GAAGUAGUGCCCGUACCGCAAACCGACACAGGUAGGUGAGGAGAGAAUCCUAAGGCCGGCGGAAGAAUUACAGUUAAGGAACUCGGCAAAUUGACCCCGUAAGUUCGCGAGAAGGGGUGCCUACGAGAGUAGGCCGCAGAGAAUAGGCCCAAGCAACUGUUUAGCAAAAACACAGGUCUCUGCUAAAGCGUAAGCUGAUGUAUAGGGGCUGACGCCUGCCCGGUGCUGGAAGGUUAAGGGGAACACUUAGCGCAAGCGAAGGUGUGAACUUAAGCCCCAGUAAACGGCGGCCGUAACUAUAACGGUCCUAAGGUAGCGAAAUUCCUUGUCAGGUAAGUUCUGACCCGCACGAAUGGCGUAAUGACUUGGGCACUGUCUCAACUGUAAAUCCGGCGAAGUUGUAGUGCGAGUGAAGAUGCUCGCUACCCGCGAUUGGACGGAAAGACCCCGUAGAGCUUUACUGUAGCUUAGCAUUGAGUUUUGGUAUUGUCUGUACAGGAUAGGUGGGAGACUAGG
RNAcentral lists this ribosomal RNA (516 nucleotides) under Clostridium perfringens. Its description in RNAcentral is "partial 23S ribosomal RNA". It matches the Rfam family "Bacterial large subunit ribosomal RNA", at positions 1632 to 2159 of the family's 2925-position model. Lineage: Bacteria; Bacillati; Bacillota; Clostridia; Eubacteriales; Clostridiaceae. The record is from RNAcentral.